AAUUGACCCGUCAAACUCCCAAAACCUAAACCCAAGACAGAUGCUUUCUCUUCGACUCUCUUUGCACUCAAAAACAACGCUGUCUCUCUGAACUUCAAAAACGAUCUCCGACGACUUCCUUUUCUCUAGCGACUUCCUUCUCUCCGGCGAACGCUUUGUUGGGGAUUUCUCUGGAUCUCGAAGUUUGGCCAUCAGAUAAGGUGAGUGUUUUGCAAGGAAAUGACUUAACAAUCAAUACCUAUCAAACAGCAUUCGCUUUAGCCUUUGUUUCUUGUUUGUGCGUUUGUGCACUUGUGGGUUAUAUUGGCUCUAACUCUGUAGUUAUAUUGGCUUUGUUGACAUUGUCGGUUAAAUAACAAAACAGGAGUGAAAUUUCAUUGGCUUUGACCAUCUAGUUAUAUUGGUUUUGACUCUCUACAGUAAUGACAUUCACAUUUACUUCAAAUCUUGUAUUGCAAAUUUCAUUGAAAAGUAGUGCUCAAAUGAUCUGCUUCAACGCUUCUGAAUACAUGAUUGAAAACAGGAUUGUACAAAUUCACAAUCAUAAUAUUUUUGGUUCACAGAUUUAAUCUUGGCUUUGAGCUGCCCUUAUUCUAAAUCUUGCAAACUCUUGUUUUCCCUCUGUUUCAUAUUAACGGACUUAUUGUUCUCCAAUACAACAAUAAUAACUAAUUUUAUGGUAUUUAAUUUACUGUAGGAUCUCAUUUUGUAAGAAGAUGUCGAUGGAGCAUGAUGAUGUAGAGUCCAAUGAAAUAAGUGUUUCAAGUUCAAAAAGAUAACGUAAUACUACUUCUGUUACAAGUUCUAAAUCUUGCAAACUCUUGUUUUCCCUCUGUUUCAUAUUAACGGACUUAUUGUUCUCCAAUACAACAAUAAUAACUAAUUUUAUGGUAUUUAAUUUACUGUAGGAUCUCAUUUUGUAAGAAGAUGUCGAUGGAGCAUGAUGAUGUAGAGUCCAAUGAAAUAAGUGUUUCAAGUUCAAAAAGAUAACGUAAUACUACUUCUGUUGUUUGGGAUUUCUACGAGAAGUUGCCAUUGGAUACAAAUCCAGAUAAUAGACUUAGAGCUAAAUGUAAGAAAUGCUGGAUAAUAUUUUUGGUUGACUCAAAAGCUAGAACAACAAAUUUAAAGCGGCAUCUAGCUAAGCACAAGAUUGAAGCAUCAAAGCAAGGUACGCCAAUUGAGCAUAAGGAAUAUCGUGAAGUUAUAGUCAAGGCUAUAGUUAGACAUAACUUGCCAUUUAGUUAUAAUAUGAAGGGAUUAGAGAAGUGCAUGCGUUCUUGAAUCAUGCGGUUAAAACCAUUUCAAGAAAUACCGCAAAAGUUGAUGUGCUUAACUUAUAUCAUGGUACAAAAGAGAUGGUAAAAAAUGAGCUUGAAGCUAUUCAAAAUAGAAUUAGUUUGACAUCUGAUUUAUGGUCAUCAAUUACAUCAAAUGAAUAUAUUUUUGUUAUUGCACACUAUGUUGAUUUGGAUUGGGUUUUACAAAAGAGAGUUUUAAUCUUUCGUCAUAUGUCUCCUCCUCAUAGUGGUGCUAAUUUUGGUCCAAAGUUGAUUAAUCUGUUGAAAUAGUGGGGAAUUGAAAAGAAAAUAUUUUCUAUAACUUUAGAUAAUGCAAUUUAUAAUGAUGGUGUUGUGGGUUGCUUGAUUUGCAUUUUAAGCUAAUGGAUUCUUUGCUUUGUAAUGGAGACUUUGUCCAUAUUAGGUGUGCAAAUCAUAUUUUGAAUUUGAUUGUUAAAGCAGGUUUGAAAAUAAUAGAGGGUGCUAUUUUUAACAUUAGAGAAAUAUAAAAUAUAUUAAUGGUUCUGAGUCAUGGAUUGUAAAAUUUGUUGAGUGUAUCAAGAAUCUUGGUUUAAAGAUGACGGGAAAAGUGCGCCAAGAUGUGUCUACAAGGUGGAACUAUACAUAUUUGAUGCUUGUAAGCGCUUUUCCUUAUCGUCGAGUAUUUUCUGACUUCAAGAUACUUGACAAAAAUUUUACAUGUUGCCCUUCAGAUGAGGAUUGGGUUAAAGUUGAAACAAUUGCUAAGUUUUUAAGGUCUUUUUAUGAAAUUACUACACUAUUUUCUGGGAGCCAUUAUCCUACCGCCAAUUUAUAUUUUCAUUAAGUUUGGAAGAUUCAUAUGUUAAUAAAGGAAGAGAUAGGUAGCGAGGAUCCUAAUAUUAAGGCGAUGGCUAUGGAAAUAGAGAAGAAAUUUACAAAAUUUUGGCAAGACGACUACAGUCCAAUUACUUAUAUGGUGAUCGCCCUUGAUCCUCGAUAUAAGUUAAAUUUGAUAAAGUUUUGAGAAGCAAAACUUGAUCCUUGACUUGCAAUGAAAAAGUUAGAUUGUUGAGGAUAAUUUGCAUAGGUUGUUUAAAGAAUACAUGACAAUAUCUGAUGUUUGAAUUGUUGGAUGUAAUAGUCAUGGAUGUUAUGAUGAAAUAAUGGACGAAAUGGAUGAAUUUGACAUGUUUGAAAGUCUGUCCGAGUAUAGUUUAGAAAAGACACAGUUGAAUUUAUACUUGGAAGAGCAUGUAUUAGUUUGCAAAGGAAAUGAAAAUUUAGACGUGCUUACAUUUUGGAAAGAUAAUAGGAGUAAGUGUCCUGAACUCUCUCGUGACCUGUUAAGUAUACAUAUCAGCACAGUUGCAUCUGAGUUGGCCUUUAGUGUUGGUGGUCGAGUUAUUGGCAAAUUCCAAAGUUCUAUUCUACCGGUGAAUGCAUAAGCUAAGUUGUGCUCUAGAGAUUGGAUUUAUGGGCAUCAAGGUACAUUAUAAUUAGUAGCAUGUGUAUUUUAUUUUAUGAACUUUCUUGUAGUUUGACAAUUUUCUAAAUUUUCUUAUUUUUAGCUUGUGAUGAUUCUGAAGAGGAGGACAUUGCAAUAGAUAAGAAGAAAAUUACCUCUACAAUCUUUACUUAGAAUUGUGGAUGUAGAGCAAGGAUGCAGAGACCCGAGCUAAUAUGAAUUUAUAAAUAUGGAUUGUUGAUCUAUAAUAAGAUAUAAGUUUCGAUACUUUCUGAUAUUUUGCUAUAGAAUUUGGAGAUGAAUGGUAUCUCCAGAACUCUCAUUCAUUUGUAAAAAGUUUUUGAUUCUUGGUGAGCCACUGUUCCUUUUUCUCUCGGUAGCUUCUUUUCUUGGUUUUAGUAAAAUUUAUUUUGCUUUGAUUUGAGGUAAUUUGUGAGCUGCGAUGAUAUCUGGGAGAUUCGGCUUAGUGUAUAGACAUAGAAUUUGGUGAUAUCAUGUGCA
Molecule: long non-coding RNA, 3228 nt
Filed under: Nicotiana tabacum (common tobacco)
Lineage: Eukaryota; Viridiplantae; Streptophyta; Magnoliopsida; Solanales; Solanaceae
Description: long non-coding RNA (NTAB_LNC013261)
Source: RNAcentral